Molecule: long non-coding RNA, 274 nt
Organism: Haliotis rubra (blacklip abalone)
Lineage: Eukaryota; Metazoa; Mollusca; Gastropoda; Lepetellida; Haliotidae
Exons: 2
Source: RefSeq, a predicted model, not a curated record
AGAUCGUAAACUGGACGCAAUUUGAGAUGACAGUUUAAGUACAUUACUCAUUCUUCAUAGUUUUGACGUGUGCGAGGGUAUUCAGUAAGUGCUAAACAUCGAAACGAUAUUUAGGUUGUGUCGUUACAGGUAUAUGAAUAUUGGCAAAUAUUUCUGAAAAGUUUAAACUGUAUCAACGUACUUAAUGAGCCUGUAAAGACAUUUGAUAUCUUAUAGGAGAAAUAAACGACCCCAGGUCAGUGUUUAAUGUACAAUACAGCGUUACAGUAAACAA